GGCUCAUCAGUUCAAAAGUUUAAAAUUCCCUCCCCUGAGCUUGACUUUAGUCCGUCGUGCCGGAGGUCACCUCCAGCAGCGGCGGAUACCUAACACUCAAACAAACCACAUCAUCUCCUUCACCUCCCUCCCCUGAUUCCAUAUAUCAUCAUAAAACAGUCCAAAUCUUGCUCCAAAAUACAAAACGAAACAAAGUAUGAUGAACCCUAAAGUUUAGAUUCACAAUUAAAUCCUCCUCUCACGGAAUCAAAGUCCUAGAGGUUAAGGCUUUGAUUCCCCUAAACCGCUUCCACAUCAUGGUAACAAGCGUGAAAUGAAAUGGUGAAGAAUGAUUGAAGUAAAUCAUCGAAGCAGAUGGCAGAGUUUAGGAUGUUGGCAGGUCACUUCUUUGCUCGCAGUUAGGCAUGAUGAUGCAGGAUGUUGUUAGGUGAAGUGCAAUAUGAAAUUUUGCUAUGCCAUAACUUAACAUGUAUUGAUUUUGUUGGCUUUAUAUAUUGAUUGCAGGACUGGUUUGUAUGAUUUGCUAAGUGUUAUUGUGUAUGGCUGCAACUCGAAUAUAAAAUGAUCUUGGUCAUGGCUUGCUGCAGGAGCUUGUUAUUUGGAUGUGCUAUAGGUCUAUGGUUUAUGCCUUGUUGCUUUCUGUAGGAUAACAUGUCCAACUGGCUUAACUGGUCCAGGCUCCUAGCAAGCUUGGUUGCAGACCUGAAAUUGCCUUGCACAUGCUGCAUGGUGGUUUGUUGUAUUGUCUGCAUGGUUAUUGCUGCAGGAUGCUAAGUCCCUUGCUUGAUGAUUGAUGCAUGAUAACAAUGAAUUCUGGCUUUGAUGUAGGUAUGGUGGGCAAGGUUGCAAGUCAAUAUGCAAGGCAAGAAAAGCAAGUUUCAAGGCAUAAUGACCAAAUUUACAAAACAAUGGAAUUUCUUGAUCAAUGGAGGAAGUGUGACCAUGGAUCAUUAAUAAAUCAAUGCCAUGUUGAAAUGUGAUCAGUAUUAGGACUUUAGGGUGCAGAAAUGCAAUGGUUGACUUUGGUCAACUGGUUGA
This is a long non-coding RNA of Lathyrus oleraceus (garden pea), 1038 nucleotides long. RefSeq lists it as uncharacterized. The transcript is spliced from 3 exons. The record is from RefSeq and is a predicted model, not a curated record. NCBI's taxonomy places the organism in Eukaryota, Viridiplantae, Streptophyta, Magnoliopsida, Fabales, Fabaceae.